This 254-nucleotide ribosomal RNA is filed under the name uncultured bacterium. RNAcentral describes it as "partial 16S ribosomal RNA". It matches the Rfam family "Bacterial small subunit ribosomal RNA", at positions 524 to 776 of the family's 1533-position model. The record is from RNAcentral.
UACAGAGGGUGCAAGCGUUAAUCGGAAUUACUGGGCGUAAAGAGUACGUAGGCGGAAAAGUAAGUCAGAUGUGAAAUCCCCGGGCUUAACCUGGGAAUUGCGUCUGAUACUGUUUUUCUUAGAGUAUGGUAGAGGGCAGUGGAAUUUCUGGUGUAGCGGUGAAAUGCGUAGAUAUCAGAAGGAACACCAGUGGCGAAGGCGACUGUCUGGACCAAUACUGACGCUGAGGUACGAAAGCGUGGGUAGCAAACAGG